UGAGGAAUAUUGGUCAAUGGACGAGAGUCUGAACCAGCCAAAUCGCGUGAAGGAAGACUGCCCUACGGGCUGUAAACUUCUUUUGUACAGGAAUAAAAGACAUUACGUGUAAUGUAUUGCAUGUACUGUACGAAUAAGCAUCGGCUAACUCCGUGCCAGCAGCCGCGGUAAUACGGAGGAUGCGAGCGUUAUCCGGAUUUAUUGGGUUUAGAGGGUGCGCAGGCGGGAUUUUAAGUCAGCGGUGAAAUUUUCAGGCUCAACCUGAACACUGCCGGUGAAACUGGGAUUCUUGAGUAUGGAUGAAGUAGGCGGAAUUCGUUGUGUAGCGGUGACAUGCUUAGAUAUAACGAGGAACUCCGAUUGCGUAGGCAGCUUACUAAGCCAUAACUGACGCUCAAGCACGAAAGCGUGGGGAUCAAACA
Molecule: ribosomal RNA, 422 nt
Filed under: uncultured bacterium
Lineage: Bacteria
Description: bacterial SSU rRNA
Rfam family: Bacterial small subunit ribosomal RNA
Source: RNAcentral